UCAAACUUGGUCAUUUAGAGGAAGUAAAAGUCGUAACAAGGUCUCCGUUGGUGAACCAGCGGAGGGAUCAUUACUGAGACGAGCGAAAGCUCUAUUCUCUCAUACCAUUGUCUACCUUACCGGUUGCUUCGGCGGUUCUUGGAAACGAGGCCGCCGGAGGGACCAGUUGCUUCGGCGCGUUGGGGCUCACGCCCCGGCCGCCGGCCAAAACUAUUCUGUAUUAUUGAAAUCUGAGACUACUAUAAUAAGUCAAAACUUUCAACAACGGAUCUCUUGGUUCUGGCAUCGAUGAAGAACGCAGC
RNAcentral lists this unclassified non-coding RNA (302 nucleotides) under uncultured fungus. Its description in RNAcentral is "partial contains small subunit ribosomal RNA, internal transcribed spacer 1, and 5.8S ribosomal RNA". The stretch from base 1 to 73 matches the Rfam family "Eukaryotic small subunit ribosomal RNA", at positions 1759 to 1831 of the family's 1831-position model. The record is from RNAcentral. Lineage: Eukaryota; Fungi.